This 403-nucleotide ribosomal RNA is filed under the name bacterium. RNAcentral describes it as "partial 16S ribosomal RNA". It matches the Rfam family "Bacterial small subunit ribosomal RNA", at positions 355 to 776 of the family's 1533-position model. The record is from RNAcentral.
UGGGGAAUAUUGCACAAUGGGGGAAACCCUGAUGCAGCGACGCCGCGUGAACGAAGAAGGUAUUCGUAUCGUAAAGUUCUGUCCUAUGGGAAGAUAAUGACAGUACCAUAGAAGAAAGCUCCGGCUAAAUACGUGCCAGCAGCCGCGGUAAUACGUAUGGAGCGAGCGUUGUCCGGAAUUAUUGGGCGUAAAGGGUACGCAGGCGGUUUAAUAAGUCGAAUGUUAAAGAUCGGGGCUCAACCCCGCAAAGCAUUGGAAACUGAUAAGCUUGAGUAGUGGAGAGGAAAGUGGAAUUCCUAGUGUAGUGGUGAAAUACGUAGAUAUUAGGAGGAAUACCAGUAGCGAAGGCGACUUUCUGGACACAAACUGACGCUGAGGUACGAAAGCGUGGGGAGCAAACAGG